UACAGAGGUCCCAAGCGUCGUUCGGAUUCACUGGGCGUAAAGGGUGCGUAGGUGGUUGGGUAAGUUUGAUGUGAAAUCUCCGGGCUUAACCCGGAAACUGCAUUGAAUACUAUCUGGCUAGAGGGUUGGAGGGGGGACUGGAAUACUUGGUGUAGCAGUGAAAUGCGUAGAUAUCAAGUGGAACACCAGUGGCGAAGGCGAGUCCCUGGACAACUCCUGACACUGAGGCACGAAAGCUAGGGGAGCAAACAGG
RNAcentral lists this ribosomal RNA (253 nucleotides) under uncultured bacterium. Its description in RNAcentral is "partial 16S ribosomal RNA". It matches the Rfam family "Bacterial small subunit ribosomal RNA", at positions 524 to 776 of the family's 1533-position model. The record is from RNAcentral.